AAUCAACGCUGGCGGCGUGCCUCAGACAUGCAAGUCGAACGCGAAAGUUUCCUUCGGGAGAUGAGUAGAGUGGCGCACGGGUGAGUAACACGUAGGUAAUUUACCUUUGGGUGGGAAUAACAAUCGGAAACGAUUGCUAAUACCGCAUAAUGCAGCGGCUCGACAUCGAGACAGUUGUUAAAGCGGGGGAGUUUUCGGUACCUCGUGCC
This 209-nucleotide ribosomal RNA is filed under the name uncultured bacterium. Its description in RNAcentral is "partial 16S ribosomal RNA". It matches the Rfam family "Bacterial small subunit ribosomal RNA", at positions 32 to 219 of the family's 1533-position model. The record is from RNAcentral.